GAUGAACGCUAGCUACAGGCUUAACACAUGCAAGUCGAGGGGCAGCAUGGUCUUAGCUUGCUAAGGCUGAUGGCGACCGGCGCACGGGUGAGUAACACGUAUCCAACCUGCCGUCUACUCUUGGCCAGCCUUCUGAAAGGAAGAUUAAUCCAGGAUGGCAUCAUGAGUUCACAUGUCCGCAUGAUUAAAGGUAUUUUCCGGUAGACGAUGGGGAUGCGUUCCAUUAGAUAGUAGGCGGGGUAACGGCCCACCUAGUCAACGAUGGAUAGGGGUUCUGAGAGGAAGGUCCCCCACAUUGGAACUGAGACACGGUCCAAACUCCUACGGGAGGCAGCAGUGAGGAAUAUUGGUCAAUGGGCGAUGGCCUGAACCAGCCAAGUAGCGUGAAGGAUGACUGCCCUAUGGGUUGUAAACUUCUUUUAUAAAGGAACAAAGUCGGGUAUGCAUACCCGUUUGCAUGUACUUUAUGAAUAAGGAUCGGCUAACUCCGUGCCAGCAGCCGCGGUAAUACGGAGGAUCCGAGCGUUAUCCGGAUUUAUUGGGUUUAAAGGGAGCGUAGAUGGAUGUUUAAGUCAGUUGUGAAAGUUUGCGGCUCAACCGUAAAAUUGCAGUUGAUACUGGAUGUCUUGAGUGCAGUUGAGGCAGGCGGAAUUCGUGGUGUAGCGGUGAAAUGCUUAGAUAUCACGAAGAACUCCGAUUGCGAAGGCAGCCUGCUAA
This 717-nucleotide ribosomal RNA is filed under the name uncultured Bacteroidales bacterium. Its description in RNAcentral is "bacterial SSU rRNA". It matches the Rfam family "Bacterial small subunit ribosomal RNA", at positions 28 to 732 of the family's 1533-position model. The record is from RNAcentral. Lineage: Bacteria; Pseudomonadati; Bacteroidota; Bacteroidia; Bacteroidales.